CGGUGUGCACUGGUCGUACCUAUCUUGCUGUCGGGGACGCGCUUCUGGCCUUAAUUGGCUGGGACGCGGAGUCGGCGAUGUUACUUUGAAAAAAUUAGAGUGUUCAAAGCAGGCCUAAGCUCUGAAUACAUUAGCAUGGAAUAACGCUAUAGGACUCUGGUCUUAUUGCGUUGGUCUUCGAGACCGGAGUAAUGAUUAAGAGGGACAGUUGGGGGCAUUCGUAUUUCAUUGUCAGAGGUGAAAUUCUUGGAUUUAUGAAAGACGAACUUCUGCGAAAGCAUUUGCCAAGGAUGUUUUCAUUAAUCAAGAACGAAAGUUGGGGGCUCGAAGACGAUCAGAUACCGUCCUAGUCUC
RNAcentral lists this ribosomal RNA (354 nucleotides) under Pyramimonas sp. RCC5283. RNAcentral's name for it is "SSU rRNA". It matches the Rfam family "Eukaryotic small subunit ribosomal RNA", at positions 670 to 1027 of the family's 1831-position model. Lineage: Eukaryota; Viridiplantae; Chlorophyta; Pyramimonadophyceae; Pyramimonadales; Pyramimonadaceae. The record is from RNAcentral.